RNAcentral lists this ribosomal RNA (926 nucleotides) under uncultured bacterium. Its description in RNAcentral is "bacterial SSU rRNA". It matches the Rfam family "Bacterial small subunit ribosomal RNA", at positions 474 to 1399 of the family's 1533-position model. The record is from RNAcentral.
GGUACCUGACUAAGAAGCCCCGGCUAAAUACGUCCCAGCAGCCGCGGUAAUAUGUAGGUGGCAAGCGUUAUCCGGAUUUACUGGGUGUAAAGGGAGCGUAGGUGGCAGGGCAAGUCAGAUGUGAAAACCCGGGGCUCAACCCCGGGAGUGCAUUUGAAACUGUCCAGCUGGAGUGCAGGAGAGGUAAGCGGAAUUCCUAGUGUAGCGGUGAAAUGCAUAGAUAUUAGGAGAAACACCAGUGGCGAAGGCGGCUUACUGGACUGUAACUGACACUGAGGCUAGAAAGCGUGGGGAGCACACAAAAUUAGAUCCCCUGGUAGUCCACGCCGUAAACGAUCACUAAAAGGUGUCGGGGCCCACAGGGGCUUCGGUGCCGCAGCCAACGCAUUAAGUAUUCCACCUGGGGAGUACGUUCGCAAGAAUGAAACUCAAAGGAAUUGACGGGGACCCGCACAAGCGGUGGAGCAUGUGGUUUAAUUUGAAGCAACGCGGAGAACCUUACCAAGUCUUGACAUCCUGCUGACCGUCCCUUAGCCGGGGCUUUCCUUCGGGACAGCAGAGACAGGUGGUGCAUGGUUGUCGUCAGCUCGUGUCGUGAGAUGUUGGGUUAAGUCCCGCAACGAGCGCAACCCUUAUCCUCAGUAGCCAGCAUUACGGAUGGGAACUCUGGGGAGACUGCCGGAGACAAUCCGGAGGAAGGUGGGGAUGACGUCAAAUCAUCAUGCCCCUUAUGACUUGGGCUACACACGUGCUACAAUGGUGGUAACAAAGUGAAGCGACCCCGUGAGGGUGAGCCAACCACAGAAAAGCCAUCUCAGUUCGGAUUGUAGUCUGCAACCCGACUACAUGAAGCUGGAAUCGCUAGUAAUCGCAGAUCAGAAUGCUGCGGUGAAUACGUUCCCGGGUCUUGUACACACCGCCCGUCA